This 252-nucleotide ribosomal RNA is filed under the name Bulleidia extructa. RNAcentral describes it as "partial 16S ribosomal RNA". It matches the Rfam family "Bacterial small subunit ribosomal RNA", at positions 524 to 776 of the family's 1533-position model. The record is from RNAcentral. RNAcentral also lists the same sequence under 1 other name. Lineage: Bacteria; Bacillati; Bacillota; Erysipelotrichia; Erysipelotrichales; Erysipelotrichaceae.
UACGUAGGUAGCGAGCGUUAUCCGGAAUUAUUGGGCGUAAAGGGUGCGUAGGCGGCCUGUUAAGUUUAUGGUGAAAGCGUGGGGCUCAACCCCAUAAAGCCAUAGAUACUGGCAGGCUAGAGUACUGGAGAGGGUAGUGGAAUUCCAUGUGUAGCGGUAAAAUGCGUAGAUAUAUGGAGGAACACCGGUGGCGAAGGCGGCUACCUAGACAGAGACUGACGCUGAGGCACGAAAGCGUGGGGAGCAAAUAGG